Long non-coding RNA from Arabidopsis thaliana (thale cress), 383 nucleotides. RefSeq annotates it as other RNA. Lineage: Eukaryota; Viridiplantae; Streptophyta; Magnoliopsida; Brassicales; Brassicaceae. The transcript has a single exon. The record is from RefSeq.
GUGUUGGGCUCUUGGAAUAAUGAAAGAUGGCUAUAUGGUAAACUCCGCGAAGCCGAGGAUAGGUGGAAAUAAAGUAAAUGUGGGUUUAAUUUAAAAAUGUUAGUCUUACAUAGACCAUUUUCAUAAAUAAAAAAUUUCCGGCUCAGACUAUUUUCUAAAACCACUGCUCUCUAUCGAUAAAAGAGAUGUUGGUGAAAGGAGCUGCUUCCACUUUGGUGAUUGGCUAAUGAUACAUAGCACCGAUGCUCUCCGUAAUACACAGUCCUAAAAAAUCAACUCAAUUAAGUCAGUAAUACACACUCCGAUUAAUCUGUUCAUUGUGAUCAAUGUUUACUAACCUUUGUGUUUUGUGAUCUCCCAUGUCAUUCCACCCAUCAAGAUAA